CUCCGGUAUGCUAUAGCUGUUUACACGGUGACUAGUAUAUUUGAAAUGUGUACGGACAAGAGCUAUGGCCUAGUUUUCUAUGCAAAACCUGGGGACAAAGAAAAAGGCUGGGGGAAGGGAGAGACAGGAUGGUACUACUACAUAAAAACCACAGCUCUACAUUUUCUUCUUUCUUCCUGCUUCCAGUAUGUACUUUCAAGACAGCAGGUGCUGAGGGAAACUUUUACUAUCUUAUCUUUUGCAGGAGACUCUGUGCACAUCCUCUAUCCAUGAAACUUGCCUGAACACUGGCAGAACAACCUUUGGAAUACCAUCCUUACACACAUGUACUCACCUUUACUUGGCAACGCCCCCUGACUGAGGACUCGAGCCCUCAGGAACACAUUUUCAAAGAUGUUACAAACCUGGGAUCAGCUGCGAGGUAUUUCUUUAAGUUUUGCUCCUCUUUUUUUCCUUGAGAUAGUCCAAUUAUAAAGUAUUUGUCUCUGAUAACAGGGAAAUCAUCUAACAGGCUUCUUAGGCUGUUGUAGUAUGCAAUGAGCUGACCUCUCAGGGCAUGUUGGGACACACGCUGGUUCAGCCUGAAAAGGCAUAAUUAAAAUACAGUGUUGUGCAGCACGUAAUCUGUCCAGAGAAGCUCUCCUGUUGUUGAGCCUAAUCUCUUUUCAUAUGGCCAUCUCUGGCAUCUUCCACAGCAAAAUUUACAAGCUAUAAAUAUGACAAUUUUGCCGCACUGUGACAACUAGACGGACAAAAAACAUGAAAGUGGCAUUUACAAAGCAAAGGAAAUUUUAGAUUUAACACUUUUCACCAGAUAGAUGUCUUCACAGUGCUUUGGAAAUAUUCAUAAAUUAAUCCAGCAACCGCUUUGUGGUAGCUAUUGAUACUUACAUUACAAUAGGGAAGCUGAAGCAAGAAGAAACCAAGUGACAUGAGUUAAUUGCAGAACUGGGAAUUAAAACAAGACAAUGUGACCCUGAGUCAGAUUUCAUAAUCAGUCAGCUGCACUGAGACUCCACUCCAACAAAACUCCGCUCCAGCAAAACUCCAGUCCAACCUGCAAGCUGUCUCCAGAAAACUCAGUCUGGCCUUACCUAUAUACUCAAUACACUGAACCUGGGCUAAAGGUAGUCUGCAUUUGCAGUGUGACACAAAGGUAUGCAAAAGGGAAC
RNAcentral lists this long non-coding RNA (1172 nucleotides) under Struthio camelus australis. RNAcentral describes it as "lncRNA (ENSSCUG00000008867.1)". The record is from RNAcentral. Lineage: Eukaryota; Metazoa; Chordata; Aves; Struthioniformes; Struthionidae.